Molecule: ribosomal RNA, 331 nt
Filed under: uncultured bacterium
Lineage: Bacteria
Description: bacterial SSU rRNA
Rfam family: Bacterial small subunit ribosomal RNA
Source: RNAcentral
GACGAACGCUGGCGGCGUGCCUAAUACAUGCAAGUCGAACGGUCUUUUCUAUGGAAGCUUGCUUCCACUGAGAAGAUAGUGGCGGACGGGUGAGUAACACGUGGGUAACCUGCCCAUAAGACCGGGACAACAGCUGGAAACGGCUGCUAAUACCGGAUAUAUUUAUUGAGAGGCAUCUCUUAAUAAAGGAAGCUGGCCUCUGAACAUGCUAGCGCUUAAGGAUGGGCCCGCGUCUGAUUAGCUAGUUGGUGGGUAAUGGCUCACCAAGGCGACGAUCAGUAGCCGGCCUGAGAGGGUAAACGGCCACACUGGGACUGAGACACGGCCCAGA